GAUGAACGCUAGCGGCAGGCUUAACACAUGCAAGUCGAGGGGCAGCAUAAACAUUGCUUGCAAUGUUUGAUGGCGACCGGCGCACGGGUGCGUAACGCGUAUGUAACCUACCUCAAACAGGGGCAUAACACUGAGAAAUUGGUACUAAUUCCCCAUAACACCUGAUAGGGCAUCCUAUUAGGUUGAAAGUUCCGGCGGUUUGAGAUGGACAUGCGUUGUAUUAGCUAGUUGGUGAGGUAACGGCUCACCAAGGCGACGAUACAUAGGGGGACUGAGAGGUUAACCCCCCACAUUGGUACUGAGACACGGACCAA
This 314-nucleotide ribosomal RNA is filed under the name uncultured bacterium. Its description in RNAcentral is "bacterial SSU rRNA". It matches the Rfam family "Bacterial small subunit ribosomal RNA", at positions 28 to 334 of the family's 1533-position model. The record is from RNAcentral.